GGUUAAGCGACUAAGCGUACACGGUGGAUGCCCUGGCAGUCAGAGGCGAUGAAGGGCGUGCUAAUCUGCGAUAAGCGCCGGUAAGGUGAUAUGAACCGUUAUAACCGGCGAUACCCGAAUGGGGAAACCCAGUGUGACUCGUCACACUAUCAUUAACUGAAUCCAUAGGUUAAUGAGGCGAACCGGGGGAACUGAAACAUCUAAGUACCCCGAGGAAAAGAAAUCAACCGAGAUUCCCCCAGUAGCGGCGAGCGAACGGGGAGGAGCCCAGAGCCUGAAUCAGCAUGUGUGUUAGUGGAAGCGUCUGGAAAGGCGCGCGAUACAGGGUGACAGCCCCGUACACAAAAGCGCAUGUGCUGUGAGCUCGAUGAGUAGGGCGGGACACGUGGUAUCCUGUCUGAAUAUGGGGGGACCAUCCUCCAAGGCUAAAUACUCCUGACUGACCGAUAGUGAACCAGUACCGUGAGGGAAAGGCGAAAAGAACCCCGGCGAGGGGAGUGAAAAAGAACCUGAAACCGUGUACGUACAAGCAGUGGGAGCCCCACCACUAAGCCAGUGGUGAACUCCACAUACGCAUCCUUUGCUGAGGAUACGGUUAACGGAGCGAAAGCGACGUUCAACCUCAAAAGAAGCAGAGGGGGCUUAGUGGUGGGGUGACUGCGUACCUUUUGUAUAAUGGGUCAGCGACUUAUAUUCUGUAGCAAGGUUAACCGCAUAGGGGAGCCGGAGGGAAACCGAGUCUUAAUUGGGCGUUAAGUUGCAGGGUAUAGACCCGAAACCCGGUGAUCUAGCCAUGGGCAGGUUGAAGGUUGGGUAACACUAACUGGAGGACCGAACCGACUAAUGUUGAAAAAUUAGCGGAUGACCUGUGGCUGGGGGUGAAAGGCCAAUCAAACCGGGAGAUAGCUGGUUCUCCCCGAAAGCUAUUUAGGUAGCGCCUCGUGAAUUCAUCUCCGGGGGUAGAGCACUGUUUCGGCUAGGGGGCCAUCCCGGCUUACCAACCCGAUGCAAACUGCGAAUACCGGAGAAUGUUAUCACGGGAGACACACGGCGGGUGCUAACGUCCGUCGUGAAGAGGGAAACAACCCAGACCGCCAGCUAAGGUCCCAAAGUCAUGGUUAAGUGGGAAACGAUGUGGGAAGGCCCAGACAGCCAGGAUGUUGGCUUAGAAGCAGCCAUCAUUUAAAGAAAGCGUAAUAGCUCACUGGUCGAGUCGGCCUGCGCGGAAGAUGUAACGGGGCUAAACCAUGCACCGAAGCUGCGGCAGCGACGCUGAUGCGUUGUUGGGUAGGGGAGCGUUCUGUAAGCCUGUGAAGGUGUGCUGUGAGGCAUGCUGGAGGUAUCAGAAGUGCGAAUGCUGACAUAAGUAACGAUAAAGCGGGUGAAAAGCCCGCUCGCCGGAAGACCAAGGGUUCCUGUCCAACGUUAAUCGGGGCAGGGUGAGUCGACCCCUAAGGCGAGGCCGAAAGGCGUAGUCGAUGGGAAACAGGUUAAUAUUCCUGUACUUGGUGUUACUGCGAAGGGGGGACGGAGAAGGCUAUGUUGGCCGGGCGACGGUUGUCCCGGUUUAAGCGUGUAGGCUGGUUUUCCAGGCAAAUCCGGAAAAUCAAGGCUGAGGCGUGAUGACGAGGCACUACGGUGCUGAAGCAACAAAUGCCCUGCUUCCAGGAAAAGCCUCUAAGCAUCAGGUAACAUCAAAUCGUACCCCAAACCGACACAGGUGGUCAGGUAGAGAAUACCAAGGCGCUUGAGAGAACUCGGGUGAAGGAACUAGGCAAAAUGGUGCCGUAACUUCGGGAGAAGGCACGCUGACACGUAGGUGAAGUGAUUUACUCAUGGAGCUGAAGUCAGUCGAAGAUACCAGCUGGCUGCAACUGUUUAUUAAAAACACAGCACUGUGCAAACACGAAAGUGGACGUAUACGGUGUGACGCCUGCCCGGUGCCGGAAGGUUAAUUGAUGGGGUCAGCGCAAGCGAAGCUCCUGAUCGAAGCCCCGGUAAACGGCGGCCGUAACUAUAACGGUCCUAAGGUAGCGAAAUUCCUUGUCGGGUAAGUUCCGACCUGCACGAAUGGCGUAAUGAUGGCCAGGCUGUCUCCACCCGAGACUCAGUGAAAUUGAACUCGCUGUGAAGAUGCAGUGUACCCGCGGCAAGACGGAAAGACCCCGUGAACCUUUACUAUAGCUUGACACUGAACAUUGAGCCUUGAUGUGUAGGAUAGGUGGGAGGCUUUGAAGUGUGGACGCCAGUCUGCAUGGAGCCGACCUUGAAAUACCACCCUUUAAUGUUUGAUGUUCUAACGUGGACCCGUAAUCCGGGUUGCGGACAGUGUCUGGUGGGUAGUUUGACUGGGGCGGUCUCCUCCUAAAGAGUAACGGAGGAGCACGAAGGUUGGCUAAUCCUGGUCGGACAUCAGGAGGUUAGUGCAAUGGCAUAAGCCAGCUUGACUGCGAGCGUGACGGCGCGAGCAGGUGCGAAAGCAGGUCAUAGUGAUCCGGUGGUUCUGAAUGGAAGGGCCAUCGCUCAACGGAUAAAAGGUACUCCGGGGAUAACAGGCUGAUACCGCCCAAGAGUUCAUAUCGACGGCGGUGUUUGGCACCUCGAUGUCGGCUCAUCACAUCCUGGGGCUGAAGUAGGUCCCAAGGGUAUGGCUGUUCGCCAUUUAAAGUGGUACGCGAGCUGGGUUUAGAACGUCGUGAGACAGUUCGGUCCCUAUCUGCCGUGGGCGCUGGAGAACUGAGGGGGGCUGCUCCUAGUACGAGAGGACCGGAGUGGACGCAUCACUGGUGUUCGGGUUGUCAUGCCAAUGGCACUGCCCGGUAGCUAAAUGCGGAAGAGAUAAGUGCUGAAAGCAUCUAAGCACGAAACUUGCCCCGAGAUGAGUUCUCCCUGAGACUUAGAGUCUCCUGAAGGAACGUUGAAGACGACGACGUUGAUAGGCCGGGUGUGUAAGCGCAGCGAUGCGUUGAGCUAACCGGUACUAAUGAACCGUGAGGCUUAACCUU
RNAcentral lists this ribosomal RNA (3005 nucleotides) under Salmonella enterica. Its description in RNAcentral is "23S ribosomal RNA". It matches the Rfam family "Bacterial large subunit ribosomal RNA". The record is from RNAcentral. Lineage: Bacteria; Pseudomonadati; Pseudomonadota; Gammaproteobacteria; Enterobacterales; Enterobacteriaceae. RNAcentral also lists the same sequence under 2 other names.